GACGAACGCUGGCGGCGUGCUUAACACAUGCAAGUCGAGCGGUAAGGCCCUUUCGGGGGUACACGAGCGGCGAACGGGUGAGUAACACGUGGGUGACCUGCCCUCAGCUCUGGGAUAAGCCUGGGAAACCGGGUCUAAUACUGGAUAUGACUCCAUGACGCAUGUUGUGGGGUGGAAAGCCUUGUGCGGCUGAGGAUGGGCCCGCGGCCUAUCAGCUUGUUGGUGGGGGAUGGCCUACCAAGGCGACGACGGGUAGCCGGCCUGAGAGGGCGACCGGCCACACUGGGACUGAGACACGGCCCAGACUCCUACGGGAGGCAGCAGUGGGGAAUCUUGCGCAAUGGGCGAAA
Molecule: ribosomal RNA, 350 nt
Filed under: uncultured bacterium
Lineage: Bacteria
Description: bacterial SSU rRNA
Rfam family: Bacterial small subunit ribosomal RNA
Source: RNAcentral